UAUCCCGUAACAAGCGCAACCCUUUGUCCUUAGUUACCAGCAGUUAUGGUGGGCACUCUAAGGAGACUGCGGUGACAAACGGAGGAGGGUGGGGAUGAGUCAAGUCAUCAUGGCCCUUACGGCCUGGGCUACACACGUGCUACAAUGGUCGGUACAGAGGGUCGCCAAGCCGCGAGGUGGAGCUAAUCUCACAAAACCGAUCGUAGUCCGGAUCGCAGUCUGCAACUCGACUGCGUGAAGUCGGAAUCGCUAGUAAUCGCGAAUCAGAAUGUCGCGGUGAAUACGUUCCCGGGCCUUGU
This 299-nucleotide ribosomal RNA is filed under the name uncultured bacterium. RNAcentral describes it as "partial 16S ribosomal RNA". It matches the Rfam family "Bacterial small subunit ribosomal RNA", at positions 1083 to 1384 of the family's 1533-position model. The record is from RNAcentral.